UACAAAAUGGCGCCCCACAUGAUGAAUUUCACGUGCACUGCUUAGGCUAUACACUGAACGACUCCCCGGUAUACUAGGUAACAUUAGGCCCUAGCUUAGACCCAGUUACUUUUUAAUUUGUGAUUGUUGGACUAUGGCUCAAGGAUUUAAAGACUACUGUGUGUGUGAACAUGAACAGAAUACGAAUAAGAUGAAAGAGAAUUAUGAAAUCAAGUUGGAAAGAGACUGUGAGCCUAUGGAUAAA
This is a long non-coding RNA of Anneissia japonica, 244 nucleotides long. RefSeq lists it as uncharacterized. The record is from RefSeq and is a predicted model, not a curated record. NCBI's taxonomy places the organism in Eukaryota, Metazoa, Echinodermata, Crinoidea, Comatulida, Comatulidae. The transcript is spliced from 3 exons.